This 475-nucleotide ribosomal RNA is filed under the name uncultured Jannaschia sp. RNAcentral's name for it is "bacterial SSU rRNA". It matches the Rfam family "Bacterial small subunit ribosomal RNA", at positions 9 to 532 of the family's 1533-position model. Lineage: Bacteria; Pseudomonadati; Pseudomonadota; Alphaproteobacteria; Rhodobacterales; Roseobacteraceae. The record is from RNAcentral.
GAGUUUGAUCCUGGCUCAGAACGAACGCUGGCGGCACGCCUAACACAUGCAAGUCGAGCGCACCUUCGGGUGAGCGGCGGACGGGUUAGUAACGCGUGGGAACAUACCCUUUUCUACGGAAUAGCCUCGGGAAACUGAGAGUAAUACCGUAUACGCCCUUCGGGGGAAAGAUUUAUCGGUGAAGGAUUGGCCCGCGUCUGAUUAGAUAGUUGGUGGGGUAAUGGCCUACCAAGUCUACGAUCAGUAGCUGGUUUGAGAGGAUGAUCAGCAACACUGGGACUGAGACACGGCCCAGACUCCUACGGGAGGCAGCAGUGGGGAAUCUUAGACAAUGGGCGCAAGCCUGAUCUAGCGAUGCCGCGUGAGUGAUGAAGGUCUUAGGAUCGUAAAGCUCUUUCGCCAGGGAUGAUAAUGACAGUACCUGGUAAAGAAACCCCGGCUAACUCCGUGCCAGCAGCCGCGGUAAUAAGGGCGA